GCAAUGGUGGUUCAGUGGUAGAAUUCUUGAUUCCCAUGUGAGAGACCUGGGUUCGAUUCCCAGCCAGUGCA
This 71-nucleotide transfer RNA is filed under the name Loxodonta africana (African savanna elephant). It matches the Rfam family "tRNA". Rfam says of the family: Transfer RNA (tRNA) molecules are approximately 80 nucleotides in length. Their secondary structure includes four short double-helical elements and three loops (D, anti-codon, and T loops). Further hydrogen bonds mediate the characteristic L-shaped molecular structure. tRNAs have two regions of fundamental functional importance: the anti-codon, which is responsible for specific mRNA codon recognition, and the 3' end, to which the tRNAs corresponding amino acid is attached (by aminoacyl-tRNA synthetases). tRNAs cope with the degeneracy of the genetic code in two manners: having more than one tRNA (with a specific anti-codon) for a particular amino acid; and 'wobble' base-pairing, i.e. permitting non-standard base-pairing at the 3rd anti-codon position. The record is from Rfam by way of RNAcentral. Lineage: Eukaryota; Metazoa; Chordata; Mammalia; Proboscidea; Elephantidae.